Molecule: ribosomal RNA, 253 nt
Filed under: uncultured bacterium
Lineage: Bacteria
Description: partial 16S ribosomal RNA
Rfam family: Bacterial small subunit ribosomal RNA
Source: RNAcentral
GACGUAGGAGGCGAGCGUUAUCCGGAUUCACUGGGCGUAAAGCGCAUGUAGGCGGUUGCACAAGUCCGUUGUUAAAGCCCCUGGCUCAACUGGGGGAGGUCGAUGGAGACUGUGCGACUUGAGGGCAAUAGAGGCACGUGGAACUCCCGGUGUAGCGGUGGAAUGCGUAGAGAUCGGGAAGAACACCAGUGGCGAAGGCGACGUGCUGGGUUGCACCUGACGCUGAGAUGCGAAAGUGUGGGGAGCAAACGGG